AUGGGGUUGCAGAGAAAACGUGGAUUGGGACCAGCAAGAAGUUAUCGUCCUGGAAUAGAGAGCCACAAUGCACAUUUGACAACAGCAAGAAAACUUCCCAGAUGCUCUGGAAGAACAGUGGCCAAGCAAAAUUCUCCCGGAGGGCAGAGUCUGCGACAGCAUUUCUGGCUGGCCAGUUCUGAUUCCGAACGACGGCAUUAUCCGAGGGGAACUCCUGGCUCAGACUUGAUGAAUCACCAGGCUGGAGUCCUGAUUCUUGAGGCCACAGCCACAGGCUCAAUGAUGGAAGCAGAGACCAGCUCCCCACCAGACACCAAACCUGCCGACCCCUCAGCCUUGGACUUCCUGCCUCCAGAACUGUGAGAAAUAAAUUUCUGCUCUUCAUAAGUUACCCA
RNAcentral lists this long non-coding RNA (395 nucleotides) under Callithrix jacchus (white-tufted-ear marmoset). RNAcentral's name for it is "lncRNA (ENSCJAG00000077216.1)". The record is from RNAcentral. Lineage: Eukaryota; Metazoa; Chordata; Mammalia; Primates; Cebidae.